RNAcentral lists this ribosomal RNA (468 nucleotides) under uncultured bacterium. Its description in RNAcentral is "partial 16S ribosomal RNA". It matches the Rfam family "Bacterial small subunit ribosomal RNA", at positions 28 to 523 of the family's 1533-position model. The record is from RNAcentral.
GAUGAACGCUGGCGGCGUGCCUAACACAUGCAAGUCGAGCGAUUCUCUUCGGAGGAGAGCGGCGGACGGGUGAGUAACGCGUGGGUAACCUGCCCUGUACACACGGAUAACAUACCGAAAGGUAUGCUAAUACGAGAUAAUAUACUUUUAUCGCAUGGUAGAAGUAUCAAAGUUUUUGCGGUACAGGAUGGACCCGCGUCUGAUUAGCUAGUUGGUAAGGUAACGGCUUGCCAAGGCGACGAUCAGUAGCCGACCUGAGAGGGGGAUCGGCCACAUUGGAACUGAGACACGGUCCAAACUCCUACGGGAGGCAGCAGUGGGGAAUAUUGCACAAUGGGCGAAAGCCUGAUGCAGCAACGCCGCGUGAGCGAUGAAGGCCUUCGGGUCGUAAAGCUCUGUCCUCAAGGAAGAUAAUGACGGUACUUGAGGAGGAAGCCCCGGCUAACUACGUGCCAGCAGCCGCCGUAA